RNAcentral lists this ribosomal RNA (504 nucleotides) under Fukuia kurodai niigataensis. RNAcentral's name for it is "partial 16S ribosomal RNA". It matches the Rfam family "Bacterial large subunit ribosomal RNA", at positions 1809 to 2604 of the family's 2925-position model. Lineage: Eukaryota; Metazoa; Mollusca; Gastropoda; Littorinimorpha; Pomatiopsidae. The record is from RNAcentral.
AAAAACAUGGCUCUUUGAUUUCAAAUAUAAAGAGUCGGACCUGCCCAGUGAUAUUUCAACGGCCGCGGUACUUUGACCGUGCAAAGGUAGCAUAAUCAUUUGCCCUAUAAUUGAGGGCUUGUAUGAACGGUUUGACAAGAACAUAACUGUCUCUUUAAAAUUCUAUAAAAUUUGGUUUUUAGGUGAAGAAACCUAAAUAUAAUUGAAAGACAAGAAGACCCUAUCGAGCUUUAAAAUAAUAAGUAAAAAAUUAGUUUACUAUAGUUACUUUAAAUUUUAGUUGGGGCGACUGAGGAACAUAUAAAGCUUCCUCUAUAAAUAAAUGUUAUAAUAUGAUCCAAAAAAUUUGAUUAAAAAAAUUAGUUACCGUAGGGAUAACAGCAUGAUCUUUUUUGAGAGUUCUUAUCGAAAAAAAGGUUUGUGACCUCGAUGUUGGAUUAGGGUAUCCCUAAGAUGCAGAAGUCUUUGAGGUUGGUCUGUUCGACCAUUAAUACCCUACGUGAU